CAUGGUUUUUUUGAUAUUGAUUUAAAAUCUGAUCUGCUCAAUGAUUAUUUAAAUUGCCGCAGUAAUUUAACUGUGCAAAGGUAGCAUAAUAAUUAGUUUUUUGAUUAAAAGCUGGAAUGAAUGAUUGGACGAUAGAACGGCUGUCUCUAUUUAAUUUGUUAAUUAAUUUUAUUUUUAAGUUAAAAAGCUUAAAUUUUAUUAAAAGACGAGAAGACCCUAUAGAGUUUUAUAUUAAUGUGACUAUAUUAAUUGGUAGUAGUUUAGUUUUUUUAAUAUUUGGUUGGGGUGACUUAAAAAUUUAAAUAAUUUUUUAAAAUUUUAAUUUUUAAUUUGAAAUUAUUUUAUCUAUUUUAUUAAAAAUAUAUUUAAUUACCUUAGGGAUAACAGCGUAAUUCUCGUUUAGAGUUCUUAUCGAAAAGAGAGUUUGCGACCUCGAUGUUGGAUUAAAAUUUAUUUUAGGUGCAGUAACUUAAGGAUUUAGUCUGUUCGACUUUUGAAAUUUUACAUGAUCUGAGUUUAGACCGGCGUGAGCCAGGUCGGAUUCUAUCUUUAAUUUUAUUAGAUAUUUUAGUACGAGAGGACCGAAUAUUAAUUAUAUUAAUUA
RNAcentral lists this ribosomal RNA (604 nucleotides) under Lycoprogenthes sp. 'Protaphes' UPOL A00535. RNAcentral's name for it is "partial 16S ribosomal RNA". The stretch from base 380 to 538 matches the Rfam family "Bacterial large subunit ribosomal RNA", at positions 2473 to 2632 of the family's 2925-position model. Lineage: Eukaryota; Metazoa; Arthropoda; Insecta; Coleoptera; Lycidae. The record is from RNAcentral.